CAGAGAGGGAGACGGAGAAUCCACAGUGGGCCCUAGCACUCGCAGUGCAGAGCUCAAAGUGGGGCUCGAACCCAUGAGCCAUGAGCUCAUAACCUGAGCUAAAGUCAGAUGCUCAACCGACCGCGCCAUCCAGGAGCUCCCAUAUAUUGGAAUUUCUAAUUGACCUUAAUAUUUAGGUUUCCAUUCUGAAAUUCUUUAUGAUGGACCUCUCAUUAUUACCUGGUAAAAUCUGCAGAUUCCGUUAAUUGCAUCAAGAAAGAUUUAUUGUUUCCCAUAAACAUUUUAAAUGACUUUUUAUUAGUCUUUAGAUUAAUUCAUUAAAAAAUGUAUUACAUUCAUAAUUCUCCAUCAAAAUGCCUUUAAUGAUCACUGGUUUACGUGUAAUGUUAAGGGUGGAAAGGCUGUGACUAAAACAUACUCAAAAUGUUUUUCCCUGGGCCAGGGUGGCUCAGAUGAAUAGUUUUGAGCCCUUUGGAAAGGUUUGCAAAAAAAAAAAGUGGACCUAUGGCUGCUCAGAUUUCAUGGAUAUCUGUUAUUAAUAAUAGUAAUGAUUUUUAGAAAUAAUGGCUACCGAUUCAUGUACCGUUUAUCCAACACUAUGCUAAAUACACUGUACCUAUAGGGAAACUAUUUCAGGUAAUCUUGUCAGCAACCUUGUGAGGCAAUAAUGCCUUUACUGUUCUAUCCGUUAGGGCACUGAGGCUUUAAAAGACUAAAUCACUUGCCAAGGUCACAGAUAUAGCAGAGCCUGGCUCCACGCCCACACCUUUCAGAAGUCAGGGCCUUACUCCUCAGAGUUCUCAAAGGCUGGUCUGAGGAUCCUGGGAGUUUCUGGGACCGUUUUAGGGGCCCUACAAGGCCCUCCCUCUCUUUCGUUACUGCAUAUCCAUGAGGCCACAUCCUCUUCUGUAGCUCAAUCAAAAUAACAGUGCAGCAGAUUGAAUCCAGAAGCACAUACGAAGAGUCAAUGGUCUUUUUCCUUUUUCUAAGCUAGAUGUUAAAGAGAUGCGCAGAAUUGUGAAACAGUGCAUCUCUUCUCACUAAGUGUUUGUUUCAUUUUGGAAAAUAUAAUCCGCUGUCAGAAAAGUAGGUUAUUUAUGGGACCAGGUAAUGAAUUCGUUAUUUUUAAAAACAACUUCAUGGAUGAUUGUUUACAACUUGUCAGUUACAAUUUCUAAUUUGUUAAACAUCGGUAUCGGUAAUUCCCGUAAACAAAAGCUCUCAGAGCUCCUCAGUGAUUUAAUAGAGAGCAGUCCUGAGAGGCGAGUGUUUGAGGAUGACCGCCUCAAACCUGACUCUUCCUGCUGCGGCGCGUGCUCUCCCCCGAGCUUCCUUCUGCGUUCAUAGGCUAGGGAGUUGGUUAUUUGCCAUUUUUCCUUCUCUUUACUCAGGUUUUUUGGUUUUUGGCUCUUGGUUUGUCUGUUCGUUUGUUUGUUUUGCAGAGUUUAUAGUGCAUUUCUUCUCCCUCUUCCUUAGAGAGCCCUUCCCCUGCCAUUGCAGAUUUUCCACUCGGGUUCCCUAGUGCCCUUUGAGGGAGCUCACCGGGGGUCCCUGGCGCGUGGAUUUGCGUGUUUCCCUCUCACUCCUCUGGUCGGCCCCUCUGGGCCUCUCCCACCUCGGCGCCAUUCGUUCCCAUGGGACGUGUCCAGGAGGGUCACGGCGCCACAGCGACUGUUCAGAGCGAACCUUCACGAGCACUUACUGCCCCCCCCCCCGCCCCCGCAGAGUAUCUCCUUCAAACCUCAAAACGUCUCCAUGACGUAGGUGUUAUUCUCCCCAUGCUACAGAUGGGGCCCGGACAGGUGACAUAGCCUGCCCAGUGUCACACAGCUGCGAAAUGGCAGAGGCAGUCAGGCUUCUGUGUCGGGGUAACCGGCAGGUCCUGCUGCUGAAAAUGCGUUUCAUCAGGUCUCCCCCUGCUGGGCCCAGACUGUGACGCCCUCCAUGGACCACUGCUGUUUCGUUUCCGUUUCCCCCUUUUCCACAUUUAGACCACUUGGAUUGGAUCUGUGUUUCCUAACGGGCAUCACAGUUCACAAAGCCUCUAGUGUUUUUCGGUCCCUGUCGGACAUCGGGAGGGGAGCCGGCAGCAUCCCAGGAACAAGAGAUCCUUUCAGGGGGACGGGACAACGUGUUCAAUAGCGACAGUGCAGCGGGCAGGGUUCCUGCAGAACUGAUUGUUCACCUAACUGGCCUGGAGGUCUGGCAGAGGAGGGAGGGGAUCAGAAAAAUGAAUUGGGGCAUCCAAUGCUCUUCGUGUGUUCAUAACAAUCUCAGCAGCUGCCGCGUGGCCAAUGUCUUCCCCGGUUCCGAGAAAAAGUACUGCUCCGGCACCGGACGGCCUUCGUUUUCUGAGGCUCACGGGACAUCUGGCUCCGAUGAAAGGGACGCGGGGAUCCUGAGAGGCGUGGACACCUCGUUAGGAUUAACUCGCACCAAGGUUGUCUGCAAGCAGUGUGGAGCCCGUCUUGGCCGCGUGCUUCCUGAUGGACGUGGGCCUAGUGGGCAGAGGUUUUGCAUCAACAGUGUGGCACUGAAGUUCAAACCAAGGAAAUACUGACUGUCUCCAGGGUCCCCUCCUCUCGCCACUGCUUCAUUUACACCCUCAGUUGUCAUCGCUCAUAUGAAUGACGUGUUCUGUUGGCUACCAAGCUAGGCCAAAUGUGCUGCUGGCACCAGGCAAGUCACAACCUCUGGGAUGUAUUUACCUGGACUCAGCCCAACCCUGACUCCAGCUUGGACUGGAAUUUCACGCAGUGACAGAAGGGCAGCCAUUUCCAUCGAAUUGACUUCUGUAGGCUUUGCCUGGGACCGGAGGGUGUGACUCUUGGGGGACAUUAAGAAGCUGAUGGACCACGAGCCAAAAAACUCCUACAAAACUACCCUGACCUUACCACUGCAGUGAAGCACUUCGUGGACCUAUACAGAUGUUGAAGGGGUACUUGCUGUUCUCUGGGCUCUUUUCUAGUUACCGGAGACACGGCAGUCAACAACACAGAUGAAGUCUCUGAGCUCCUGCCCUCAUUUGGAGCUUCCGUAGAGGUAGAGGAGGUGAGGGAAGAGCAUUCGGGCAGAGAGGACCACACACCGCACAGUUUAUGUGGAGGGAGUGCCCUUCACGAACAGCGAGGGGACCAGCGGGGCUCAUUACAAGCGAAGGAAGAAAAGAAUUCUCUACAGUGACCCAUCUUGUUUCUUCCGACAUAAUGAGUUAAAUGGAGGCUGAUCAAAGGAUCCCAGUGGUUGGGUUGGCUGUAAUCGGACUUAGGAAAGGAAGGAGCGGACCCGUGUCACAUCGCCACCAGCGUGCACAUCCCGUCCUGAAUGAUGCCAUCAGGCUCAGCUCAAAAGGCCGCAAACAGCACUCUCCAUCCGCCCGGGGCAAGGGUGGCCUGCGAGGGGCCACUGGGGCCGGAGGACUCCAGGAAAAGGCCGUUUUCUCAAGACGUCAGCAAGUGAGGAAUUCUUCACAGAAGGGGCUGUCGGCAGGCUCGCGUCUGCCCAACUUCCUCUCCUCACGCUCUCUGACCUUUCUCCCACCUUAGGACGCACUAACUGAGGGUCCCCCGAGUCUGGCUCUGGGGAGCAGGGGUGGGAGCACGGCCUUGGCGGCCGGCUGAGAAGCUUCUGGUCGUUUCCUCUGCACAGGGGGCACCCGUGGGGCUGCCUCCCGUCUGUGUAAGGGAGGGAGGUUUGUGUCUGCGAAGUCACCCACGACGAGGUCCUGGAGUGUUCCCACGGACGGGAUGCCCUCCUCCCCGAGAGUCGUCGUGAACAAAAGAGUGCUUCCUGUUACAUUUAGAUGCCGAUUAUCAGGGAGGGGGUAGUGAUUGAUGAGAUGAGGGUGCAGGGAGCGUUCUCUCCGUCGUAGGAGUAUUUGGCUGCUUGGUAACUGUUCACAGCCUGUUUCUUCCUCGUGCGCAACCUGAAAUCAUUUUCUUUGUAAAUGUUAAAAGCCGUGUGAAAAACACCCAACCACCUCGAUGAGUCCUCUUUGGACUUCCAUCAGCAGCACGGCAGCCUCUGAAUAAACUGUAAUUUCCUUCACCCCACCUGUUGAGAACAUUUAGGCCACAUUUAGGAAAAACAACAACAACGACACCUGGAUAGGGGUCUCAAGAACAAUUAGCAAUUAAAAUAAUCUAUGUUCUCCACCUCCGUAUCAACACGGCCGCUUGACUCAUUUCCGUCUCAGGCACAGCCUCGCUCGGGAGCACCGUCCUCCCCCAUUCGGAGCCGUCGGAAUCACCGGAGGCAUCUUAGGUGUUGGGAGGCAUCUCUCCGUGUUCGAGAAUCUAUCGGCGCAUCACUCACUUUAGAACCGAACUCGAUGCCUUUUCCAGAGAAUAGGCUUCUAGGGGUCACCGGUCCUCCCCUCAAGUCUCCACCGCUCGGGACUAAAGAAAGUGCCUGGCCCGGGGCGGGUGCACCUGUGCUGUCUGUUACCCCCUCCCCCAGCUGCCCGGACCCCAGCCACAGCCUGGGCUUUCCCUAAAGAUACUCCUCUGUGGGGGUUAUUCCCGGAGUCACCGACCCCCAGCACCAUAAAAUGCCACAGAGAGAAGGGAAUGAAAAGUCACUGGGUCCAACCCCUGUGGAUUUUACAGGUAAACAAACUGAACCCCGGAGAGACUUACCUAGCUAGUGGCAGCCAUGACACCCAAGGUUCCUGAACCUCAGCCCACUUUCUCCCCUGGGUGGUCUUCAUGGGCAGAAACUGGAUUCGGUGGUCUCUGUCUUGGAAAAGCAAGAUGUCAACUUCACCUCAGGCGUUCUUUGCUAACUUUGCCUGGAGGCUUUCCCAAGGCCAUGGUCAGGCCCAAGAGCCUGAGAGCUCCAGAAAACAUGGCAGCGCUCCAUAUAAGGGGGUGGCCAUCCUACAGCGCCUCGUUUCCCCUUCCCGAACCUCCCCAGAGACCAGACACGGAGGCCUGCAGCAGGGCUAGGACUUCUAUGAGGCGGGAAAGGCAGCUCACUGGUCGGGGCACUCGCCCUCAGACCCUAGGGGCGGCGGAUGCUAAGAUCAUUCCGAGAUCGGAACAACGACCACAUGGACAGAGCUGCUCCCUGGGGCCUCCUCCCCAAGGUCAGAGACCCUGGGACAAUCCAUAGGCAAGGUUGGGAGGAGCCACCUAAGGGUCCCCUGUUGCCAAGACACAUUGAGGGAUGGUCACCACAUGACCCUCUACAAAAUGUCCUCAGUGGGCCGGGGUCUUCAGUUCAGCAACGCUUCCAGAAUGUCCGAGCUGAGCGUCACAGUGCUUUGCCACGGACAGCAAGCCCCCGGAGCCCGGGGACCCCCCCCCCCAACCGCCACUGAUCAGUGUGCACUUAACAAAAAUGCUCGGGCUCAUUCUAAACACAGGUUGAUAGUUUAGGAUGCAGAAUAACCGAUCGAUGACAGUGAUAGUAAAACAUAAAGCAGUAAAUAGUAAAAAAAAAC
Molecule: RNA transcript, 5443 nt
Organism: Leopardus geoffroyi (Geoffroy's cat)
Lineage: Eukaryota; Metazoa; Chordata; Mammalia; Carnivora; Felidae
Gene: MSRB2
Gene name: methionine sulfoxide reductase B2
Exons: 6
Source: RefSeq, a predicted model, not a curated record